This 450-nucleotide ribosomal RNA is filed under the name uncultured Glomeromycotina. Its description in RNAcentral is "SSU rRNA". It matches the Rfam family "Eukaryotic small subunit ribosomal RNA", at positions 569 to 1022 of the family's 1831-position model. The record is from RNAcentral. Lineage: Eukaryota; Fungi; Glomeromycota.
AGCAGCCGCGGUAAUUCCAGCUCCAAUAGCGUAUAUUAAAGUUGUUGCAGUUAAAAAGCUCGUAGUUGAAUUUCGGGGUCAGCAGGUUGGUCGUGCCUCUGGUACGCACUGGUUUCGCUGAUUCCUCCUUUCUGAAGAACUGUAAUGUCAUUAAUUUGGUGUUGCAGGGAAACAGGACUGUUACUUUGAAAAAAAUUAGAGUGUUUAAAGCAAGCUAACGCUUGAAUACAUUAGCAUGGAAUAAUGAAAUAGGACGUUUGAUCCUAUUUUGUUGGUUUCUAGGAUUGACGUAAUGAUUAAUAGGGAUAGUUGGGGGCAUUAGUAUUCAAUUGUCAGAGGUGAAAUUCUUGGAUUUAUUGAAGACUAACUACUGCGAAAGCAUUUGCCAAGGAUGUUUUCAUUAAUCAAGAACGAAAGUUAGGGGAUCGAAGACGAUCAGAUACCGUCGUA